Molecule: transfer RNA, 69 nt
Filed under: Acanthaspis ruficeps
Lineage: Eukaryota; Metazoa; Arthropoda; Insecta; Hemiptera; Reduviidae
Description: tRNA-Gln
Source: RNAcentral
UAUAUUUUAGUGUAUGAUGCACGAGGAAUUUUGAAUUCCUUAGAUUUAGUUUAAAUCUAAAAAAUAUAA